CCAAGUACAACUGAUUACGUUGUCUAUUACUAGCAGCAACAUAUCACCAAGUACAACUGAUUAUGUUGUCUAUCACUAGCAGCACCAUAUCACCAAGUAAAUCUCUCAGUAUGGUGUCUAUCACUAACAGCACCAUAUCACCAAGUAAAACUCUCAGUAUGUUGUCUAUCACUAGCAGCACCAUAUCACCAAGUAAAUCUCUCAGUAUGUUGUCUAUCACUAGCAGCACCAUAUCACCAAGUAAAACGGAUUAUGUUGUCUAUCGUUAGCAGCACUAUAUCACCAAGUACAACUCUGAGCAUGUGUAAAUAUACUUGGUGAAUGAAGGUGAUUCUGAUUCUGAUCAUAAUGGUUUGUAAUUGACACAGGCCACCUACAAUACUGAGCUCAAAUAAACAAGGCAAAAUAAAGGACGCACAAUAGUACUAUAAAAACAUAUAACAUCUGAUCAAGUUGUUUCUAUAGACUGUGUGCAAAAUAUGUUUUCCCCUUUCAGUUGUGUAAGUGCCUCUAUUUUUCAGAGCAGUAUGACAUUGCAUACCAAUCAAUCAAUCACAUUUAUUUAGAAAGCACUUUUUACAUCAGCAGAUGUCACAAAGUGCUAUACAGAAACCCAGCCUAAAACCCCAAACAGCAAGCAAUGCAGAGGCAGAAGCCAGACACCAUGGGAUGUAGAAGUGAGAUGUGAUCCGUGUUAAGAACCUCCCCUCCUGACAGAGGCAACACCAUCACUUGGUUUCCCGAAUCAACCACCUCACUACUUGUUUGACAACUAGGUUAAUCAAAAGGCAAUACAUUUCUGGCUUUAAGGAUCAGUUACUGUAACUAUUUUAUUUUUUAAUAUAACUGGACUCUGGAUUGUUGUGUGAAGAGACAUGGAGGCUAUGUUUGGACUACUGUUGGUGCUGUUAACAGGAGUGUCUCAUGCCACAGACAUGGUGACCACCUGUAAUGCUACUCAUAACUCAUCCCAGUGUUCCGUGGUUCUGAAUGGAACUCUGAAUCUCCAGCUGAUGACCAACGCGAGUGGAUGUGAAUUGUUGUUUAAAUAGAACCUCAUCGAUGGUCCCACACUGAUAUUCUCACUGAAAAGAAACAAGGUGACCUUUAGGGGAACGAGUGAAAAAAGAUCAAAGUUCUUUAUCAACAAUGGGACCUUAAGGUUAACCAAUGUGGAGAGGACUGAUUCUGGGCAAUACCUUGCGGAGAUCUACAAUUCCAAUGGGUUACUUUUGGGAACCAGACGAGUACAACUGGACAUUGAAGGACCAGGUUUACCCAUGGUGCUCAUCUUGGGGUCAGGUUCAGCUGUUGGUCUCCUCCUAGCAGUGAUGCUGGUAGCCUGCUGUAUUCAGAGGAGAAGGAGAAGUCCAGCACCACAGAUGGAGAAAACUAAGGACCUCAGCCUUCAGAAUGAGGAAAGCGGCGACCAAACCUUUGAUACCUGCUAACAGAGGGGAGAUAGAGGUUUAGGACUCAUUAGUAGGCUUCCAGAGAGUAGUCAUUGAUAAGUAACUAGAAUGGAGACAAAAUACUCAUUCCUUUUUCAAAACAGCCAAAACAAUUUCCUUUGUUUUUUCUGUGUGUGCAUUAAAUAUUUUUAUGGUAGUAGCUUAUUUUUUAUUCAUUGUUUUUCUGUUUUGUUGGCAGCUGUGAAUCAGCACUGGUAUUAAAUUACAUGAAUACUU
Long non-coding RNA from Oncorhynchus nerka (sockeye salmon), 1688 nucleotides. RefSeq lists it as uncharacterized. The transcript is spliced from 4 exons. The record is from RefSeq and is a predicted model, not a curated record. Lineage: Eukaryota; Metazoa; Chordata; Actinopteri; Salmoniformes; Salmonidae.